Molecule: ribosomal RNA, 207 nt
Filed under: uncultured bacterium
Lineage: Bacteria
Description: partial 16S ribosomal RNA
Rfam family: Bacterial small subunit ribosomal RNA
Source: RNAcentral
CGCGCAGGCGGCCUGGAAAGUCCUUCGUGAAAUCCCACAGCUCAACUGUGGAACUGCGGAGGAUACUGCUAGGCUUGAGUCCGGGAGAGGGGAGUGGAAUUCCCAGUGUAGCGGUGAAAUGCGUAGAUAUUGGGAGGAACACCGGUGGCGAAGGCGGCUCCCUGGACCGGUACUGACGCUGAGGCGCGAAAGCUAGGGGAGCAAACG